GGGAAAGCUAGACCUGCAGAGUGAAGAAAGCUGGUAAUAGAUGUCUGACAAACUAAAGAAAGACUUGUGUUACGAUGCAAAGUAUUGUUCCUGGGUGUGUCUGUGAGAGUAUUGCCAAAGGAGAGCAGUGAACUGGGAAAAGCAGACCCACCUCAAUGUGGGUGGGCAACAUCCAAUCGGCUGCCAGCUAGAAUAAACCAGGCAGGAGAAGAUGGAAGAGCCGACUUGCUGAAUCUUCCAGCCUUCAUCUUUCUCGUGUGCUGGAUGCUUCCUGCCCUCAAACAUCAGACUCCAGGUUCUUCGUCUUUUGGACUCUCGGAUUUACAUCAGUGGUUUACCAGGUGCUCUCAGGCCUUCAGCCACACACUGAAGGCUGAAUUGUCGGCUUCCCGACUUUUGAGAUUUUGAAACUUGGACUGAGCUACUGCUGGCUUCCUUGCUUCUCAACUUACAGAUGGGACUUCACCUAUAGAUCAUGAAAACCAGAAUCAUGGCAUUCUGAAGACAACAGAUGAUUUGACAAAACCUACAGAUGUUCCUCAUUUGGAAUCCCAUUGAGCCUGAUCUGCUUUUCAUUGCAUAUGCUCUGUUGCUAAAACUAUACAAGCACCUUCCCUCUAGGCCCAGGGACUAUUGUGCAAGAGGUGGUUGCAUGAGAUUACAAGGGCUGGUUUUGAGGGAUAUAAUUAGUUCAGAUCCUCUCAAUGAAGGAUGGGUACACAGAUGCCUAAACAGCUGGUAAAACAGGGACUUUGCCUUCUGAGCUGUUAUGUGGCACCUUUUAAUCCAUUCUAACCAUAAAUAAUUUGCUGAUUCCUGUAGAAUUAAAAACAAAUUAUUACUGAAAGAAUAUAAAGAUACCCAUGACAAAGCCUCCUGGGUACUCCCAGUUAUGAGAUUUAUGAAGAUAAUUAUAUAUUAAAAAUUUUUAUCAGACACCUUGGGACACAUUACUAAAGACAACAAAAAGAAAUGUGGCACAACAAAAAGCUCUAAAUUCCUUAGCUUAAAAGGUUUUAAUAAUGCUUAUGUUCUGUGUAGCUAAUUGCUAUAAGUCUGUAACUAAAACCAAGAUUACAGCAGCUCAAUGUAUAGAAGUUAAAGAUAAGUUAAUUUUGUAUCUUCACCUUUGUGUUUUUGUUUGUUGGCUUUUAUAUUACUUAAAAAAAUUUAACAGUUAAUGAAUGCCUGUCUAUGUCCAUUCCCAUCUGGGCUGGAACAUUUAAAUUGGCUAUAAGUUUUUGGAUCUAGGUCCCUUGGCAAUAGGGGUUCCACUGAGGGACAGGAUGAACCUGGGGCAGGCAGCCAUGCCACCCUGACAACACUAUGCGAUAAAGUAAAUGUUUACUGGCCAUUGAUCUUGCCUAUGGCAAAUGUUGGCCAGAAGGGGGAGAAUGUAAACCAAAACUAAAAUUCUAAGCCCCCCAACCAUCUGAAUGGACCUCUACUUUUGGCAAGGUGCAUUCCAAAGUUAACCUGAAAACUAGUUCAGGCCAUGAUGGGAAAGGGGAGGUCAGACAUGUCUCAUUAUACCUUCCUCCCUUUUGUAAUUCAGAAAAAGCUGACCAGCAUUAACACCAAUACAGAUCUUAAGUCUAAUAGAAGAGACUCUUUCAAUCUGAUAAGAAACAUUUACAAUCUAGUCUCUCAGAAGCCUGAUAUCUUGAGGUUUCAUCUACUUAAUAAACCCUUGGUCUCCACAACCCCUUAUCUUAACCGAGGUAUUCCUUUCUAUUGAUCGUAAGCCUUUAGACAAUUACUUAACUCAACCAAUUGCCAAUCAGAACAUCUUUGAAUCUGCCUUUGACUUUUGACUUGCAAGCCCUACUUCCAGUUGUCUUGCCUUUCUGGACAGAACUAAUGUACAUCUUGCAUGUAUUGAUUGAUGUCUUAGUCUCCUUAAAAUGUAAAAAACAAGUUGUAGGCUGACCACCUUGGACACAUGUUCUCAGGGUCUCCUGAGGGCUGUCUCACAGGCCAUUGGUCACUCAUGUUUGCUCAGAAUAAAUCUCUUCAAAUGUUUUACAGAGUUUGAUAUUUUGUUGACACAUGGCUCCAUUUUUUUUUCCUCUGGCCUCACUGCCCAAAAUUUAUACUUUUAGUCUUAAAAAGCAUAUUUAUUUUGAGAACCAAAAAGCUGAUCAUGAAAGAGAAACAUGUUAGUUUUAAAUCAUAAUUACUUUGGACAUUGACUGACAAAUUACUUCUGAAUGGGUCACUAUUCUAAUAACUAAUAACAAGAGGUCAAUGAAAGCGAGUAAAAAUAAGAAGCAUUUCAACCCAUAGUUAUUUUCAGUGCAGCAGCAAAUUGAAUCAUGGUUGUACCUCAUUCCUUUCUGCUCUUUAGCUUCAGAGGGGGAGUAAUCAGUGAAGAAAGCAGGAAUCAUCUGAGUUUAAGUAUUACAAUUUAUGACAUGAUUUAUAUCGUAAGAUAACAACAGUCAAAUCUUGUCCAUAGUUUGUAAACUUGAGAAGCCAAAUUUUAA
RNAcentral lists this long non-coding RNA (2486 nucleotides) under Homo sapiens (human). Its description in RNAcentral is "HSALNT0191658". Lineage: Eukaryota; Metazoa; Chordata; Mammalia; Primates; Hominidae. The record is from RNAcentral.